This 325-nucleotide ribosomal RNA is filed under the name Clostridioides difficile. Its description in RNAcentral is "bacterial LSU rRNA". It matches the Rfam family "Bacterial large subunit ribosomal RNA", at positions 2598 to 2925 of the family's 2925-position model. The record is from RNAcentral. Lineage: Bacteria; Bacillati; Bacillota; Clostridia; Peptostreptococcales; Peptostreptococcaceae.
ACGCGAGCUGGGUUCAGAACGUCGUGGGACAGUUCGGUCCCUAUCCGUCGCAGGCGUAGGAAAUUUGAGAAGACCUGUCCUUAGUACGGGAGGACCGGGAUGGACGUACCUCUGGUGUACCAGUUGUUCUGCCAAGGGCAUGGCUGGGUAGCUGUGUACGGAAUGGAUAAGCGCUGAAAGCAUCUAAGCGCGAAGCCAACUUCAAGAUAAGAUUUCCCACCGCAAGGGUAAGACCCCAGAAAGACUAUCUGGUUGAUAGGUCGAAGGUGUAAGUGCAGCAAUGUAUUUAGCUUAUCGAUACUAAUAGGUCGAGGACUUGACCAAU